CCAAUGACAGCAACAAGUGCGAGCCACUCGUGGUAAGGUGGGUCAUUCCUCCACCAAUCUAGGAUUUGGUACUUUGCAACAUGCAAGCUAUGUGAACUUCUUUUACACAGUCCAUGCAUGGGAGGCAAAGGCUUAACACCUGUGGCCCAAACUGUGGCCAAUAAUUAUGUUGUUUUAUAUGAACUAUCUGCCAAAUUUAUAAAGAUACUUCUGUUACUACGAAUAGGUUCGAGAGGAGGUAUUAAAGCUCAUAAUGCCAAAAUCCAAAGGAAAAAGUGAGAGCACAAAGAACUUGACUGUAACUUCAUACACAAAAGACAAAUGAAGGCCAAGAUUGUGGAGACAGAAACAACAGCUCAAGUGUAUGCAGCUCCGCCUGUAACCUUCAACGGUUAGAGUCCACUUUGUGUAAGAUAUAGUUA
This is a non-coding RNA of Plectropomus leopardus (leopard coralgrouper), 422 nucleotides long. The record is from RefSeq and is a predicted model, not a curated record. NCBI's taxonomy places the organism in Eukaryota, Metazoa, Chordata, Actinopteri, Perciformes, Serranidae.